RNAcentral lists this transfer RNA (63 nucleotides) under Sinergasilus polycolpus. RNAcentral describes it as "tRNA-Glu". The record is from RNAcentral. Lineage: Eukaryota; Metazoa; Arthropoda; Copepoda; Poecilostomatoida; Ergasilidae.
AGUUUUAUAGUAUAAAAAAUUACAUUACCUUUUCAUGAUAAAAAUAGGGCUCCCUUAAAACUC